ACGGAAGGCAGCAGUGGGGAAUAUUGGGCAAUGGGCGCAAGCCUGACCCAGCAAUGCCGCGUGAAGGAAGAAGGCUUUCGGGUUGUAAACUUCUUUUAAGUGGGACGACAAUGACGGUACCACUUGAAUAAGCUCCGGCUAACUACGUGCCAGCAGCCGCGGUAAUACGUAGGGAGCGAGCGUUAUCCGGAUUCAUUGGGCGUAAAGCGCGCGUAGGCGGCUUGCUAAGCGGAACCUCUAAUCCGAGGGCUCAACCCCCGGCCGGGUUCCGAACUGGCAGGCUCGAGUGCGGUAGGGGCAAGUGGAAUUCCAUGUGUAGCGGUGGAAUGCGCAGAUAUAUGGAAGAACACCGAUGGCGAAGGCAGCUUGCUGGGCCGACACUGACGCUGAGGUGCGAAAGCGUGGGGAGCGAACAGGAUUAGAUACCCUGGUA
Molecule: ribosomal RNA, 433 nt
Filed under: uncultured Coriobacteriaceae bacterium
Lineage: Bacteria; Bacillati; Actinomycetota; Coriobacteriia; Coriobacteriales; Coriobacteriaceae
Description: bacterial SSU rRNA
Rfam family: Bacterial small subunit ribosomal RNA
Source: RNAcentral